This 483-nucleotide ribosomal RNA is filed under the name Ilyonectria destructans. RNAcentral describes it as "eukaryotic LSU rRNA". It matches the Rfam family "Eukaryotic large subunit ribosomal RNA", at positions 116 to 624 of the family's 3401-position model. The record is from RNAcentral. Lineage: Eukaryota; Fungi; Ascomycota; Sordariomycetes; Hypocreales; Nectriaceae.
UGAAAUCUGGCCCUCGGGUCCGAAUUGUAAUUUGUAGAGGAUGCUUUUGGUGAGGUACCUUCCGAGUUCCCUGGAACGGGACGCCAUAGAGGGUGAGAGCCCCGUCUGGUUGGAUACCGAUCCUCUGUAAAGCUCCUUCGACGAGUCGAGUAGUUUGGGAAUGCUGCUCUAAAUGGGAGGUAUAUGUCUUCUAAAGCUAAAUAUUGGCCAGAGACCGAUAGCGCACAAGUAGAGUGAUCGAAAGAUGAAAAGCACUUUGAAAAGAGAGUUAAAAAGUACGUGAAAUUGUUGAAAGGGAAGCGCUCAUGACCAGACUUGGGCUUGGUUGAUCAUCCAGGGUUCUCCCUGGUGCACUCUUCCAGCCCAGGCCAGCAUCAGUUCGCUGUGGGGGAUAAAGGCUUUGGGAAUGUGGCUCCUCCGGGAGUGUUAUAGCCCAUUGUGUAAUACCCUGUGGUGGACUGAGGUUCGCGCAUCUGCAAGGAU